GAUGAACGCUAGCGACAGGCUUAACACAUGCAAGUCGAGGGGCAGCGAGGGAGUGCUUGCACUUCUGUCGGCGACCGGCGCACGGGUGAGUAACACGUAUGCAACCUGCCCUUGUCAGGGGGAUAAGCGAGGGAAACCUCGUCUAAUACCGCAUAUAUGAUUUUGAGGCAUCUCAUAAUCAGGAAAGAAUUAUCGGACAAGGAUGGGCAUGCGGGACAUUAGGUAGUUGGGGGUGUAAACGGGACCACCAAGCCGACGAUGUCUAGGGGUUCUGAGAGGAAGGUCCCCCACACUGGUGCUGAGACACGGACCAGACUCCUACGGGA
RNAcentral lists this ribosomal RNA (326 nucleotides) under uncultured bacterium. RNAcentral describes it as "bacterial SSU rRNA". It matches the Rfam family "Bacterial small subunit ribosomal RNA", at positions 28 to 346 of the family's 1533-position model. The record is from RNAcentral.